GACGAACGCUGGCGGCGUGCUUAACACAUGCAAGUCGAACGGAAAGGCCCUGCUUUUGUGGGGUGCUCGAGUGGCGAACGGGUGAGUAACACGUGAGUAACCUGCCCUUGACUUUGGGAUAACUUCAGGAAACUGGGGCUAAUACCGGAUAGGAGCUCCUGCUGCAUGGUGGGGGUUGGAAAGUUUCGGCGGUUGGGGAUGGACUCGCGGCUUAUCAGCUUGUUGGUGGGGUAGUGGCUUACCAAGGCUUUGACGGGUAGCCGGCCUGAGAGGGUGACCGGCGACAAGGGUACUGAGAUACGGCCCAGACUCCUACGGGAGGCAGCAGUGGGGAAUAUGGCACAAUGGGCGGAAGCCUGAUGCAGCAACGCCGCGUGCGGGAUGACGGCCUUCGGGUUGUAAACCGCUUUCGCCUGUGACGAAGCGGGAGUGACGGUAAUGGGUAAAGAAGCACCGGCUAACUACGUG
This 468-nucleotide ribosomal RNA is filed under the name uncultured bacterium. RNAcentral describes it as "partial 16S ribosomal RNA". It matches the Rfam family "Bacterial small subunit ribosomal RNA", at positions 28 to 507 of the family's 1533-position model. The record is from RNAcentral.